RNAcentral lists this ribosomal RNA (443 nucleotides) under uncultured bacterium. RNAcentral's name for it is "partial 16S ribosomal RNA". It matches the Rfam family "Bacterial small subunit ribosomal RNA", at positions 338 to 795 of the family's 1533-position model. The record is from RNAcentral.
CCUACGGGAGGCAGCAGUGGGGAAUAUUGGGCAAUGGGCGCAAGCCUGACCCAGCAACGCCGCGUGAAGGAAGAAGGCUCUCGGGUUGUAAACUUCUUUGAUCAGGGACGAAGAAAGUGACGGUACCUGAUGAAUAAGCCACGGCUAACUACGUGCCAGAAGCCGCGGUAAUACGUAGGUGGCAAGCGUUAUCCGGAUUUAAUGGGGGUAAAGGUCGUGUAGGCGGGAAAGCAAGUCAGAUGUGAAAACCAUGGGCUCAACCUGUGGCCUGCAUUUGAAACUGUUUUUCUUGAGUACUGGAUAGGCAGACGGAAUUCCUAUUGUAGCGGUGAAAUGCGUCGAUAUUAGGAGGAACACCAGUGGCGAAGGCGUUCUGCUGGACAGCAACUGCCGCUGAGGCGCGAAAGCGUGGGGAGCGAACAGGAUUAGAUACCCCUGUAGUC